UGGGGAAUAUUGCGCAAUGGGGGGAACCCUGACGCAGCCAUGNCCGCGUGAAUGAAGAAGGCCUUAGGGUUGUAAAGUUCUUUCGGUAUUGAGGAAGGUUGAUGUGUUAAUAGCACAUCAAAUUGACGUUAAAUACAGAAGAAGCACCGGCUAACUCCGUGCCAGCAGCCGCGGUAAUACGGAGGGUGCGAGCGUUAAUCGGAAUAACUGGGCGUAAAGGGCACGCAGGCGGUUAUUUAAGUGAGGUGUGAAAGCCCCGGGCUUAACCUGGGAAUUGCAUUUCAGACUGGGUAACUAGAGUACUUUAGGGAGGGGUAGAAUUCCACGUGUAGCGGUGAAAUGCGUAGAGAUGUGGAGGAAUACCGAAGGCGAAGGCAGCCCCUUGGGAAUGUACUGACGCUCAUGUGCGAAAGNGUGGGGAGCAAACAGGAUUAGAUACCCUGGUAGUCCACGCUGUAAACGCUGUCGAUUUGGGGGUUGGGGUUUAACUCUGGCGCCCGUAGCUAACGUGAUAAAUCGACCGCCUGGGGAGUACGGCCGCAAGNUUA
RNAcentral lists this ribosomal RNA (548 nucleotides) under uncultured bacterium. Its description in RNAcentral is "bacterial SSU rRNA". It matches the Rfam family "Bacterial small subunit ribosomal RNA", at positions 355 to 896 of the family's 1533-position model. The record is from RNAcentral.